Molecule: ribosomal RNA, 336 nt
Filed under: Triticum aestivum (bread wheat)
Lineage: Eukaryota; Viridiplantae; Streptophyta; Magnoliopsida; Poales; Poaceae
Description: partial small subunit ribosomal RNA
Source: RNAcentral
AUGUCGAAUACACAACGAGGAUGCCAACACCCAACUGACCCAUACAUGCGCAUCCUUGCCGUUUCAGGACUUAGGAUGGAGCACCAAACCACAUCACACCAAAACUUGGACAUCCAAAUCAGCUGUCAGCAGCAUGAACUUCUGAACUACCCUAUGUACACAAUCGAGAGAACUAGUCUAUCAAGCCUUGCUAGAAUCAGUAAUCAGAUCAGGAGCAGAAGAGCAGAGGUGGAUCUGCUAGUCGUGGUAGCAGAGGAGCGCGACGACACAUCGGCGGAUGAUGUAGAACCUGGCCUUGUGCUCCCUCAGCAUCCUGCUCAGCCCUCCGGAUCCUGA